UUGCCCGCCGCGCGCGGCGGGCGGGGCGGGGGCACGGGGGGCCGACGGUGAGGGGUGAAGCCCUGGGGCGCAAACGGGAUUAGAUACCCCGGUAGUCCAGGGUGUAAACGCUGCGGGCUUGGUGUUGGGGGUCCUUAGUGGGCGCCCAGUGCCGGAGAGAAGUUGUUAAGCCUGCUGCUUGGGGAGUAUGUCCGCAAGGAUGAAACUUAAAGGAAUUGGCGGGGGAGCACCGCAACGGGAGGAGCGUGCGGUUCAAUUGGAUUCAACGCCGAAAAACUCACCAGGAGCGACGGAUAUAUGAAGGUCAAGCUGAUGACUUUACCUGAUUUUCCGAGAGGUGGUGCAUGGCCGUCGUCAGUUCGUACCGUAAGGCGUUCUCUUAAGUGAGAUAACGAACGAGACCCUCACCAUUAAUUGCUAGUCCUUUCUCCGGAGGGGGCGCACAUUAAUGGGACCGC
Molecule: ribosomal RNA, 458 nt
Filed under: uncultured archaeon
Lineage: Archaea
Description: bacterial SSU rRNA
Rfam family: Archaeal small subunit ribosomal RNA
Source: RNAcentral